Molecule: ribosomal RNA, 413 nt
Filed under: uncultured eukaryote
Lineage: Eukaryota
Description: SSU rRNA
Rfam family: Eukaryotic small subunit ribosomal RNA
Source: RNAcentral
CCAGCAGCUGCGGUAAUUCCAGCUCUAAUAGCAUAUAUUAAAGUUGUUGCAGUUAAAAAGCUCGUAGUCGGAUUUUGGGCGCGUGUGAACUGUCAGCCUCUGGUUGGACGGUGCGCGCGUGCCUUUCUGCUUGGGAGCCCCAUGGUGGUUAAUUCUGCUGUGGUGGGUCACAGGCCGUUUACUUUGAAAAAAUUAGAGUGUUCAAAGCAGGCUGAUGCUUGAAUAGAUUAGCAUGGAAUAAUGGAAUAGGACCUUGGUGCUAUUUCGUUGGUUAUGGGACUGGGGUAAUGAUUAAUAGGGACAGUUGGGGCCGUUCAUAUUUCGUUGUCAGAGGUGAAAUUCUUGGAUUUACGAACGAUGAACUUGUGCGAAAGCAUUCGGCAAGGAUGUUUUCAUUGAUCAAGAACGAAAGU